RNAcentral lists this ribosomal RNA (301 nucleotides) under uncultured bacterium. Its description in RNAcentral is "partial 16S ribosomal RNA". It matches the Rfam family "Bacterial small subunit ribosomal RNA", at positions 509 to 809 of the family's 1533-position model. The record is from RNAcentral.
CAGCCGCCGCGGGAACACGUAGGUGGCAAGCGUUGUCCGGAAUUAUUGGGCGUAAAGGGCUCGCAGGCGGUUUCUUAAGUCUGAUGUGAAAGCCCCCGGCUCAACCGGGGAGGGUCAUUGGAAACUGGGAAACUUGAGUGCAGAAGAGGAGAGUGGAAUUCCACGUGUAGCGGUGAAAUGCGUAGAGAUGUGGAGGAACACCAGUGGCGAAGGCGACUCUCUGGUCUGUAACUGACGCUGAGGAGCGAAAGCGUGGGGAGCGAACAGGAUUAGAUACCCCUGUAGUCCCUGUCUCUUAUAA